GAAUUCGCCCUUAGAGUUUGAUCCUGGCUCAGGACGAACGCUGGCGGCGUGCUUAACACAUGCAAGUCGAACGAGGUACAGAUGGAAGCUUGCUUUUGUCUGUACCGAGUGGCGGACGGGUGAGUAACGCGUGAGGAACCUGUCUCAUACAGGGGGAUAACAGUUGGAAACAACUGCUAAUACCGCAUAAGACCACAGCACCGCAUGAUGCAGAGGUCAAAGGAGGAAUCCGGUAUGAGGUGGACUCGCGUCCGAUUAGAUAGUUGGUGAGGUAACGGCCCACCAAGUCAACGAUCGGUAGCCGACCUGAGAGGGUGAUCGGCCACAUUGGAACUGAGAUACGGCCCAGACUCCUACGGGAGGCAGCAGUGGGGAAUAUUGGGCAAUGGGCGCAAGCCUGACCCAGCAACGCCGCGUGAGGGAAGAAGGUUUUCGGAUUGUAAACCUCUGUCCUUGAUGAAAAGAAGAAGAUGGUAAUCAAGGAGGAAGCCCCGGCUAACUACGUGCCAGCAGCCGCGGUAAUACGUAGGGGGCGAGCGUUGUCCGGAAUGAUUGGGCGUAAAGGGCGCGUAGGCGGCCAUUUAAGUCUGGAGUGAAAGUCCUGUUUUUAAGAUGGGAACUGCUUUGGAUACUGGAUGGCUUGAGUGCAGGAGAGGUUAUCGGAAUUCCCGGUGUAGCGGUGAAAUGCGUAGAGAUCGGGAGGAACACCAGUGGCGAAGGCGGGUAACUGGACUGCAACUGACGCUGAGGCGCGAAAGUGUGGGGAGCAAACAGGAUUAGAUACCCUGGUAGUCCACACUGUAAACGAUGAAUGCUAGGUGAAGGAGGGAUCGACCCCUUCUGUG
RNAcentral lists this ribosomal RNA (845 nucleotides) under uncultured bacterium. Its description in RNAcentral is "bacterial SSU rRNA". It matches the Rfam family "Bacterial small subunit ribosomal RNA", at positions 1 to 845 of the family's 1533-position model. The record is from RNAcentral.